GUGUGCAGUGGAUACGGGCAGGCUAGAGUGUGGUAGGGGAGACUGGAAUUCCUGGUGUAGCGGUGAAAUGCGCAGAUAUCAGGAGGAACACCGGUGGCGAAGGCGGGUCUCUGGGCCUUACCUGACGCUGAGGAGCGAAAGCGUGGGGAGCGAACAGGAUUAGAUACCCUGGUAGUCCACGCCGUAAACGUUGGGCGCUAGGUGUGGGGACUUUCCACGGUUUCCGUGCCGUAGCUAACGCAUUAAGCGCCCCGCCUGGGGAGUACGGCCGCAAGGCUAAAACCCAAAGGAAUUGACGGGGGCCCGCACAAGCGGCGGAGCAUGUUGCUUAAUUCGACGCAACGCGAAGAACCUUACCAAGGCUUGACAUCACCGGUAAUCCUCCAGAGAUGGGGGGUCCUUCGGGGAUCGGUGACAGGUGGUGCAUGGCUGUCGUCAGCUCGUGUCGUGAGAUGUUGGGUUAAGUCCCGCAACGAGCGCAACCCUUGUUCCAUGUUGCC
This 500-nucleotide ribosomal RNA is filed under the name uncultured Actinomycetes bacterium. Its description in RNAcentral is "bacterial SSU rRNA". It matches the Rfam family "Bacterial small subunit ribosomal RNA", at positions 619 to 1119 of the family's 1533-position model. Lineage: Bacteria; Bacillati; Actinomycetota; Actinomycetes. The record is from RNAcentral.